RNAcentral lists this ribosomal RNA (832 nucleotides) under uncultured fungus. RNAcentral's name for it is "eukaryotic LSU rRNA". The stretch from base 1 to 241 matches the Rfam family "Eukaryotic small subunit ribosomal RNA", at positions 1593 to 1831 of the family's 1831-position model. The record is from RNAcentral. Lineage: Eukaryota; Fungi.
UUGCUCUUCAACGAGGAAUGCCUAGUAAGCGCAAGUCAUCAGCUUGCGUUGAUUACGUCCCUGCCCUUUGUACACACCGCCCGUCGCUACUACCGAUUGAAUGGCUCAGUGAGGCCUUGGGAUUGGCCAGGGGAGGUGGGCGACCACCACCCCAGGCCGAAAACUUGGUCAAACUUGGUCAUUUAGAGGAAGUAAAAGUCGUAACAAGGUUUCCGUAGGUGAACCUGCGGAAGGAUCAUUAACGAGUUAGGGUUGGCCCCUCGCGGCCGCCCGAACCUCCCAACCCUUGUGUCUACCAAACCCAAUGUAUGUUGCUUCGGCGGGCCGGUUUUCCCCGUCACACGGGAGACCGCCGGGCCUCUUGCGCCUGGAGAGUGCCCGCCGACGGCCCACACCAAAACUCUUGAACCAAACCAGUGUCGUCUGAAUUCAAAAAAGUUAAUUAAAAACAAAACUUUCAACAACGGAUCUCUUGGUUCGGGCAUCGAUGAAGAACGCAGCGAAAUGCGAUAAGUAAUGCGAAUUGCAGAAUUUCCGUGAGUCAUCGAAUCUUUGAACGCACAUUGCGCCCAUUGGUAUUCCGAUGGGCAUGCCUGUUCGAGCGUCAUUAUCCUCCCUCAAACCCCCGGUUUGGUGUUGGACCGCGUCGGCCUGCGAGGGUCGACUGGUCUCAAAGACAAUGACGGCGUCCGUGGGACCCCCUUCGCAACGAGCUUUCGGGCACGCGAACACAAAGGACCCGCGGGCCGGCCACCCUUCUUAUCAUUUACAAGGUUGACCUCGGAUCAGGUAGGAAUACCCGCUGAACUUAAGCAUAUCAAUAAGCGGAGGA